Molecule: long non-coding RNA, 15768 nt
Filed under: Homo sapiens (human)
Lineage: Eukaryota; Metazoa; Chordata; Mammalia; Primates; Hominidae
Description: HSALNT0078112
Source: RNAcentral
UGGUUUAGCUUUUAAGUCUUUAAACAUCUUGAAUAAUUUUUUAUAAGAUUGGGGUCAAAUUCUCAUUUUGUAUUUUCAUUUUGGGUAGAUAAUUAACAAACUAUCAUUCAUUGAAAAUACUUUUAUAUUGAAAUUCACUGUGACUUUGUUUGAAACGAGGUGAAUAUAUGUGUAGGUCUCUGUUACAUUCUGUUGGUCUAUUUUUCUAACCCAUAAUAAUAGACACUAUCUAAAUUAUGGUAAUUUCAUAAUAGAUCAUGAAAUCUGUUGAUGCAGGUCUUUUGAUUUUACUUUUCUUCUCCAAUGUUGCCUUGGCUUUUCUAGUUCUUUUGCACUUCCACAUGAAUUUAAGAUUCAGAUUAUACACAUAUAUACACUGACUUUCAGAUGUCUGAUGCUCUUAUGUCAUUUCAGGAAAGAACACCAGGAAAAAUGUAAACAUAUUUUACAUAAAAUACCAUAAAACCCUCUAGAUUUCUGUUGCCUUAUUAUUUCAGCAGGCUUUCUUAACUUUCUUUUUUCCUUUCUAACUUUUAUUUUGGGUUCAAGCAGUACCUGUGCAGGUUUGUUACAUGGGUAAAUUGUGUGUCGUAGGGGUUUGAUGUACAGAUAAUUUUGUCAGCCAGGUAACUGGCAUAAUGCUGGAGAAGUGGUUUCAAUCCUCACUCCCCUCCCUCCCUCCACCCUCAAGCAGGCUCCAGUGUUAUUGUUCCCUUAUUUGUGUCCAUGUGUAGUCAAUGUCUUAACUUGUUUAGUAGCUGAACAAGUUAGUUGCACUUAGACUUGCAAAACGAACUAUAUGCCUAUUUUUUCCAUUUAAAAAUAGAAACUGAGGCAGAGAGGCAGGUUUUUCAAAUCAACUUUAAUUAAUCUGUUUUCUCUAUGUGUGAUGUUUCAUUCAUAUGUCAGUAAGUUUCCAUGUAUAUACUUUCUUGAUGUGAAAUAUUAGGCUGGUGCGUAUGUUUUUGAUAAUAAAUUUUAUAAUAUCCUCUAAGAUCUUUUAGAUCUAAGUCUCCUCAAAGUUGGCUUAUAUUUCUAAAAUAAGUGAUACAUUUUGUACAUUCUUGUACAAAAGUUAGCCAAUAGCACAUUUCACUUUUCUAGUAUCAGAAUGCUCCAGUACUACAGUUUGCAUUUAGGCAAUGAGGAUUUGUAAACAUUCUGAAUUAAGACCCUUCAAAAAAACUGUUUCACAAUCUUAGAGUAAAAAUAUUAUCAUAUGACUUAAACUUUUCCAGUUAUUUACACAGAAAGUUGUGAUAGUUUGUGGGAUCCCAAAUAUAUCAAAGAACUUUUCUUUAUUAUUUUGCCCUGUGAUUCCAUAGUUAAAGCUGCCCACUCACCCUAAGAUUUCCUAAGUAAGAGGAAGCACUCAAGAAUUUAUUCCCUAAACAAGAUGGUCUAUUAAAGAGUACUAUAAUCUCCACGACUAGACAUAAAAUAAGGGUUACUCAAUUUAAAAUGUAAUAUAUUCAUGCAGAUUCUAAUAACAUUGGAAGAAGAAAAAGUUUAAAAUAAGUAUGAACACAAAUCACUAUCUUGAAUGCAUCAUUAUUAUUGAGUCUGUAUGAAGGGACAGAAGGCAUAGCUAUUUUGGGGGGGAGCUAUCACAAGAUUAGUUUUUAAGAGAAUGGUAACAGAUCCAUGUGAAUAUGUUUAGGAGGCAUUUAAAUAUAGAAAUGAAGCUUAGAAUGUGAUAAAAAUGAAGAUGUACAUCAGGUAAUUAUCCCCUAAAACAAUUUUUAACUAUCUUUUUUUUAUUUUUUAGAUCUUAAUCUGUUUCCUGUCUUAAAUAUUCUAACUAUGGAUGAAGAAAAUGUAUUUGAAUGCUAUAGGUUCUAGACUGAAACAAAUCAUGUAGACUAAGGAUCUAAAACUACUGUUUGAGGGCAUAUGUGAGAAGAUCUAAAUAGGCAACUCAGUUUGCCAAGAAAGAAAAUGUGCAGAGAUAAAUAAAGGAAACAAACUUGCAGGGAGAGUAAGAACAAGCAGGCAACUUUGCUUUCUGCAUGUUCCCAUCUUCCAGUCCGAAAUUUCUGUGAGACCUAGUUAUGAUUAUUUGGGAGGGAAAUGUCUUAAUUACCAUUAAUUCUCCCAGCAAGAGAUGUCCCACUAAACAAAGUUUGCUAACUUAUAUUAUCACAUGCUUAAUUAUUUUAAAAUUGAAACUCACAGAUAAUUGAAACUGGAUGACAACAUUUGGGGAAAAAUACUUAAUGUAGAUGAUGUUUCUUGGAGUUUAUUCUCACACACUAGUCCUGAAAGUUACCUGUCCCCUUAAAAAUUGGGUAUACUGCAUAAAUUAAUUAUGAGAUAUCUCGUACUCUAUGUCACUCCUUGAGACAAAAGGUACCAAAGCACACAUGAUAGGGAGCCACCAGUUUGGAAAACCACGUGUGCUUUCAGUUGUCUCCCCUUUUUCUUUCUUUUCUGCUGUUUAUCACUUAGGUGUAGUGAAGUUUGACCACCUGACAAACUAGAAGACUUGCUGAAAGAGUUCUUAGGAAAAUGUUCUGAUGCUUAUUGGGACUUUAUGCAAAUGGAAUAAAAGCAGGAAUGAUCUCACACCAUGAGUUUUGCUCAAAGUUGAAGACUGGUGCCUAAACUAAAACUGCUAGGACACAUACUCUGUUUUUUUCUUGUCCUAUGGAAACCUUUCUAGUAUGGCUGAUGGUUUUCAGUCAUUUUCAUUAUUUAGAUGUCAUGUACAUCAUAUGAUUUUCUAGAUGACAGUAAUAUAAUUUAAAAAACAUAAAGACUUUCCUUCUUUCCUUAUCUUGAUAGUACACAAAUUCAUGAAUGUAAAUAUUUUAAUGAAGAAAAUGGAGUUAAAUAAAAUGGUUUACUAACUAGAAGAUAUCUCUUAGUAGAAUCAAUUAUAAAAUAUAACAACAUUUUAUGAAAAAGAAAACAUGUACAACUUUGGUAAACAACACAAGCUAAUUUUUACUUUUAAAAUACUUUUAAAAUUAUGAUCAACAGCUAGCAAUAUGAAACUGAUAUCUACCAGGAACAUUCCUAGGUAUUUGUGAUUACUUUAAACAAAAAAAUUCAAAAAAAUAAUUAUUACAUUCAAAGUUGAUAACCUAGAGAGAAUGCUUGUAAAAGUUAAGAAACUUUAGAAAUAGGCAGUUAUAAAUAGCUCAAUUUCCCGUACUUGGGUCUAAGGUAAAAUCAUCACUUUUCUCAAUGUUUCCACAAAAACAGUUGAAUUGUUAUAUUAUCUUAAUAGUUUGUAAAUAGACCUCAAAUUACCCCUUUUUAUAGUGCUACAUUUUAUCCUACAAAAGAGUAGUUACGUAGAAGAAUGACAAUAAAUGAUGAUGAAGACACACCAAAUGUGAAGCAUACAGGCACACCUCAUUUUAUUAUGCAUCAGUGUAUUGCACUUUGUAGAUAUUACAUCAUUUAGAAAUUGAAGGUCUGCGGCAACCCCGUGUUGAACAACUAUAUUGGUGUCAUUUUUUUUUCAAUGGCAUGUGCCCAUUUUUUGUCUCUGUGUCACAUUUUGGUAAUUUGUGCAAUAUUUCACACAUUUUUAUUAUUAAUAUAUUGGUUAUGGUGAUCUGUGAUCAAUAAUGUUUGAUAUUACUAUUGUAAUUGUUCUGAGGCGUCAUGAAUUGCCUCCACAUAAGAUGGCAAACUUAAUCGAUAAAUGUUGUGUAUUGUUAUUGCUUCAAUGACUGGCCAUUUCUCUGUCUUUCCCCUUUUUCUUGGGCCUUCCUAUUCCCAGAGAUACAACACUAUUAAAAUUAGGCAAAUUAGUAAUCUUAGAAUGGCCAAUAAAUAUUCAAAUAAAAUGAAGAGUUGUACAUGUAUUACUUUAAUCAAAAGCUAGACAUGAUUAAACCUGGUGAGGAAGGCAUGCCUAAAGCCAAUAUAGGUGAAAAGCUAUGCCUCUUGUGCCAAACCAUUAGCCAAGUUGUGAAUGAAAAGAAAAAGUUCUAGUAAAACAUUAAAAGUACUUAUUAAUUAGUUCAGCCAUUGUGGAAAGCAGUGUGGCGGUUCCUCAAAGAUCUCAGAAAAAAAUUAACAUUUGACCCAGCAAUCCCAUUAUUAGGUAUGUACCCAAAGGAAUAUAAAUCAUUCUACCAUAAAGACACAUGCACACAUAUGUUCACUUCAGCACAAUUCACAAUAGCAAAGACAUGGAAUCAACCUAAAUGUCCAUCAGUGGUACACUGGAUAAAGAAAACAUAGUACAUAUACACCAAGGAAUACUAUACUGCCAUAUAAAAGAAUGAGACCAUGUCCUUUGCAGCAACAUGGGUGGAACUGGAGGCCAUUAUCCUAAGCAAACUAACACAAGAACAAAAGACCAAAUACUACAUGUUCUCACUUAUAAGUGGGUGCUAACCAACAAGAACACAUGGAUACUAGAAGGAGAACCACAGACACUGGGGCCUACUUGAGAGUGAAGGAUAGGAGGUGGGAAGGCAUCAAGAAAAUACUUAUUGAGUACUAUGCUUAUUACCUGGGUAACAAAAUUGUAUGUGCACCAAACCCUCAUGAAACACAAUUUACUUACAUGGCAAACCUGCACACAUAUCCUGGAACCUAAAAUAAAAGUUAAAACAAGAAAAAUAAAAAAACUCCUGAAGCUUAAAAAUAUAUGUGUGUGUGUGUGUGUGUGUGUGUGCGUGUGUAUGUCUCCAGUGAGUACACAAAUGAUAAGAAAGUGAAACAGCCUUUUUGCUGACAUGGGGAAAGUUUUAGUGGUCUGAAUAGAAAAUCAAACCAUCCACAACAUUCCCUUAAACUAAAGUCUAAUGUGGAGCAAAAACUUAACUUUUGUUUUAAUCCUCUGAAGGCUGAGAGGGGUGAGGAAGCUACAAAAGACAAGUUGAAGCCUAGCAAGUUUGUUUUAUGAGGUAAGGGAAUAAGCCAUUUCCAUAACAAAGAAUGCAGGUGAAGCAAUAGGUGCUGAUGGAAAAGUUGCAGCAAGUUAUCCAAAAGAUGUUGCUAAGAUAAUUGAUGAAGGUGGCUCCAUUAAAUAUUAGAUUUUUACUGUACAUAAAACAGCCUCAUAUUGGAAGAAGUUGCCAUCUGGGACUUUUAUAGCUAGAGUGGAAAAGUCAAAGUCUGGGUUCAAAAUUCAAAGGUAAGGCUGAUUUUUUUUGUUAGAGGCUGAUGCAACUGCUGACUUUAAAUUGAAGUGAAUACUGAUUUAUCAUUCUGAAAACCCCAGAACCCUUAAAAAUUGUGCUAAAUCUACUCUGCCUGUGCAUUAUAAAUGGAACAACGAAACCCAGAUCACAGCACAUCUGUUUAUAGCAUGGUUUACUAAAUAUGUUAACUCCAUUGUUGAAACAUACUAAUAAAAAAAAGAAAAAAAAGAUUUUUUUUCCAAAUAUUAAUGCUCUUUGAAAAUGCACCUGGUCACCUAAGAGCUCUGAUGGAAAUGUACCAGUAGAUUAAUGUUGCUUUCAUGCCUGCUAACAGUGAAUCAAGGAAUAAUUUAGACUUUCAAGUUUUAUUAUUUAUAAGAUGCAUUUCAGAAGACUGUAUGUUCCACAGAGAGUAAUUUCUCUGAUGAAUAUGGGAAAACUAAAUUUAAAAUCUAUUGGAAAGGAUUCACCAUUCUAGAUGCCUUAAGAACAUUGGUGAUUUGUGGGAGAAAGUCAAAAUAUCAACUACAAUAGGAGUUUGGAAGAAGUUGAUUCCAAUCCAUGUGGAUAAUUUUAAAGGGUUCAAGUUUCCAGCAAAGGGAGUAACUUAAGAUGUGGUAGAAAUAUUCAAACAACUGGAAUUUGAAGUGGAGCCUGAAGAUGUAAUUGAAUUGCUGCAAUCUCAUGAUAAAACUUUAAUGGGUGAGGGGUUGCUUCUUAUGAAUGAGGGGGAAAAGUGGUUUCUCAAAAUGGAAACUAUUCCUGGUGAAGCUGUUAUGAGAAUUGUUGGAAUUAACAACAAAAGAUGUAGAAUAUUACAUAAACUUAAUUGAUAAAGCUACAACAAGGUUUGAGAGGAUUGACUCCAAUUUUGAAAGAAGUUUUACUAUGGGUAAAAUGCUGUCAAACAGCAUCAUAUGCUACGGAGAAAUCUUUCAUGAAAGAAAGAGCUAAUUGAUGUGGCAAACUUCAUUUCUGUCCGUUUUUAAGAAAUUGCCACAGUCACCCCAACCUUCAGCGACCACUGCGUUGAUCAGUCAGCAGCCAUCAAAACUGAGAAAGACACUCUACCAGCAAAAAGAUCACGAAUAGCUGAAGGCUCAGAUGAUUGACUUUUUAGCAAUGAAGUAUUUUUUAAAUUAAGAAAUUGUGCUGGAAGACUUCUGGGAAAAGUUCCUUUGCUCCAAUUAGGAGACACUGAAGAUAAAGGAAAUGGCCUCUAUCCUUCUUCUGGUGCCCUUAACGUUAAUUCCUGGAACUCCUACAACCAUCUCAUAACAAUCAUGGAGGAAGGCAAACCCUAGAGAUUCACAGAAAACCAGAACUGAAUCUCUAAUUCACUUGGCUUGAGGUCUGCCUUAUCUCUAGUCUAUUUGAAGUGAAAUAAUCAAUCCCUUUAUUUUUAAAGGCAAUUUGAUUUGUUUGGCAUUGCUUUCUUAUAUUAGAAUGUAGUGUGAGCAUUGUAUAUAACUAUAGUAAGAGGCGUUUCUAUAUAGGUGCAAUAGAAUUUAUCUUAAAAUGUUACUUUUAAGUCAAUUGUUACAUUUUAUAAUUUAAAAAUAACAAAAAAACCUAUUUCCACGAAAUACCGUUUUACCUCAAUUCCUGUGCUUGAGCCUGUUGUUUUCAUUGUAGUUGGCUGCAUAAAAUCUAAUAGCUGUGAGAAAGCAGCUUUCAGAGAAGCUCAGUAACAUUGCCAGAUAAUUUAUUUCGGAAAAUAAUGUGCAAAGUAACUACUUCUUUCUUUCUUUUUGUUCCUUUUUGAGGUAAACACUUUAAAGGUGUUCCCAUUUCAUAAUCACAGCAUUAAAGAUUUUGUUGGUGGAAGUCUUUGUGAGGAUUUUCAAUUUUACAGCAGCUUAUAAGUGAUUGGCAAUGAGUUGUGCAGAGCCCUACAACUUUGAGGAUAUACAGCACUCCACUUGGCAGAGAUAGAUGCUAUGCUUCAAAAAAAUUUCCUGUGUUAAAAAUGCAAAUUAGCAUAAUAUUUUUCUGACUUCAAAUUAAUUUAACAAGUUGUUGAAUAUUCAAAGAUAAAAUGUAGAACACAGUUUGCUUUAUAAAAAGCACAAAAUUCACCUAAAUUAUGGUUCUCUAUAUGCCACCUAACUUGUUUCAUAUUUGUAUAACUCAUGGUUGUUGGUGAGGUUUGAAUUAGUGUUUUAUAUCCACACUCACAUCAGCUUACUAUGGAGGAGUAAAAUAUGAACAAUUUGGGCACACUUGAAGCUUCUGGAGAAGUAAGUUAUAGUCCUUUGUGAAAAGAAACUUGGGGCUCACGCCUGUAAUUCCAACACUUUGGGAAGCCAAGGCUGGCUGAUCUCUUGAGCCAGGAGUUCGAGACCAGUCUGGGCAACAUAGUGGAACUCCAUCUGUACGAAACAAUAGAAAAAUUAGCCAGGCAUGGUGGCAUGUCCCUGUAGUCCCAGCUACUCAGGAGGCUGAGGUGGGAGGACCACCUGAGCUCAGGGAGGUCAAGGCUGCAGUGAGCCAUGAUUACACCACUGCACCCUUGUCUGGGAGACAGAGUGAAAGCCUGUGCCAUAAACCAGGGAAAGCCUGCCUGUCGUUUACCCUAUGCUGUAAAAUUGUAUAAUUAAAAAUAAAAAAGAAAAGAAAAGAAAAAAAGAAGUUUGUUCCAAUUUAAUGGAAAAUUGGUUUUCAAGGACAGGACAGAAAUUCUGGGAAAAGACACCUUGAAAGUAAUUAAGAUUAAUUAUAAGCAGGCUAGGGAAAUUCCAGACUAAAGAAUGUGCCAUUUAUUGAUGGCAAACUAUAGACGAGUUCUGUCACUGAUCAUAGCCAUGAAGUCUCAAUGCCAGCUUCAUGGGAGGAGUCCCACACAGGGCUCCCCAGUCAGAAGGGCUUGUGUUUGGCUUAAUAAUGCUCCAUUGUUGCCAUCUCGAAAUUUUUAAUACUUUUUGAACAUGGGGCCCUACAUUUUUAUUUUGCAAUAGGCCCUUAAAAUUUUGUAACUAGCCCUGCCUCGCUAUAUGUUAAGACUUAAAAUGUAAAAAUCAGGCAAUAAAAUCAAAAGUUGUGUUGAGAAAGGAUUAUUGUGUUUAAUAUUGUGUAUUAACUAAAAUAGAAGUUAGUCUAUGUUUAUAUUAUUAUCUACAAAAUGAAAUUUUAAAAAAACACACAUUCUAUGUUCUUGGAUGCCAUCUUGAUGAAGAGGAGUAAAAUGUUUACGAAAGAUGUUCUGAUUUUUUCCUUUUGCAAAUAUUUAUGGUAAAAACUUUACUUUAGCCAGGCACAGUGGCUCAUGCCUGUAAUCCCAGCACUUUGGGAGGCCAAGGUGGGUGGAUCACGAGGUCAAGAAAUCGAAACCAUCCUGGCCAACAUGGUGAAACCCCGUCUUUACUAAAAAUACAAAAAUUAGCUAGGCGUGGCGGUACAUGCCUGUAGUCCCAGCUACUCAGUAGGCUGAGGCAGGAGAAUCACUUGAAUCUGGGAGACGGAAGUUGCAGUGAGCUGAGAUCGUGCCACUGCACUCCAGCCUGGCGACAGAGCAAGACUCUGUCAAAAAAUAAUAAUAAUAAUAAAAUAAAAAAUAAAAAAAAACACUUUACUUUAAAUUUUAAUAUAGAUACUGUCUCUUCUGAAGUAAGAAUUUUUACAGUAGGGAAGGCAGUAAUCAGCAAAUCAGUAAACAAGCAAACAAAAAACACCAAAGAAGUACAUACCAUAAAAAUUGUGUUGAUUAAAUAAUUAUUAAAUGUCUUCUGCAUUUGCCUAUGUCCUAACAAAAUACACAGAUUGGGUGGCUUAAACAAACAAACAAACAAGCAAAAAGAUAUUUUCACAGUCUGGAGGCUAGAAGUCCAAGAUCAAGACGUCAGCCAAUUUGGUUUCUCCAGAGGCCUCUCUCUUUGGCUUUCAGGUGGCUGCCUUCUUACUGCAUCCUCAUGUGUUCUUUCCUCUGAGCAAGAGCACUCCUGGUGGCUUGCUCUCUGUGUACAGAUGUCCUCUUCUUAUAAGGACACUGAUCUAGAUUGGAUUGGGGCCCACCAUAAUGACCUUGUUAAUUUAAUCAUCUCUUUAAAGGUCCUAUCUCCAAACACAAUCAACAUUAUAAGGUACUAGGGAUUUUGGCUUUCACAUAUGAAUAUCGGUAGGACACAAUUCUGCCCAUAACUACUUCUAUGUGGCACACAUUUCCCUAUGCUCUAGAAUUGGAAAGAGGAUAAUAGUGGAAAUAGAUCUAUAAAGUCAUAAUGACCAUAAAUGCUCUAUGAAGUAGAACAUACAAUAGACAAAAUAUUUUUGUUCCUUUGAGGGAUCUAAAUAACACAUAAAAUUAAAUACAUAAAAUUAAUAUUUAUCCUGACCAUGGAUAAAUACAUAAAAUUAGUAUUUAUUCUGAUGAUGGAUAAAUACUAAUACACUGAAAAGAAAAAGCAUUCCAUGUAUUAGAAUUACAGGAGAAAUAAAGUGUAAAAGUCCGCUUUUAAAAUGAAUAAUAGUGGACUCUCUCUGAAUAUAGUGCCCUGAAGGGAAAAGCAGGUAACAAAUAAAAUGUAGGCUAGAAACAUAAUUUAUUCAGAAUUUACCCUGAAAUGGGAGAGUCCAUGCUAAAGAAAUAAGAAGAAGACUGUGUAAUUAUAUAAUCCUAAUUUCAAAAUGGAACUAUGUUAAUUGAGUAAAAUUGUACAAAUAUUUUAAUAUGUGUGAGUGAUAUGGUUAGGCUUUGUAUCCCCACCCAAAUCUCAUCUUGAAUUGUAAUCCCUAUUAUCCCUAUAAUCCUCAUGUGUCAAGGGAGAGACAGGUGGAGGUCAUUGAAUCAUGGGGGUGUUUUUCCCUAUGCUGUUCUCAUAAUAGUGAGUGAUUUCUCACGAGAUCUGAUGAUUCUAUAAGGGGCUCUUCUCUCUUAGCUCGGCAUUUCUCUUUCCUGCCGCCUUGUGAAGAAGGUGCCUUCCUUCCCCUUCACCUUCUGCCAUGAUUGUAAGUUUCCUGAGGCCUCCCCAGCCAUGCAGAACUGUGAGUCAAUUAAACUUCUCUCUUUCAUAAAUUACCCAGACUCUGGUAGUUAUUUACAGCAGUAUGAAAAUGGACCAAUACAAUGAGCCAUCCUUUCCUUUCCUGAAUAAAUCAAAACAAUAAUAUUCUGAGAGAGGCACCACUCCUUUCAAAUAUCAAUUCUCUUAUCCUUCUGCAGUAGGUAUCUCGAUUUUUAUCUUGGCAAAUUGCUGCCCAAGUACAAGAACACUUUAUCUAGUUUCUACUGCAACUGUGUUUGGUCUAUGUUCAAGGUUUGGCCAUUCCCAGGUAAGUGAAAGUGUUUAGUGCAGUUUCCUGGAAAAGUUCUCAAAGGAGAGGCUGCACAUUUUACCUCUAUAUCCAACCUUAAAGUGUGAAGCAAAUAUGAUGGCUGAAGCUCCAGCAGUCAUCUUGGACCAUAAGAGUCAAGGACAUAUCUUAGGAACUGUAGACUGGAGAAUUGGAAGCAGCCUGGGUCACUGCAGUUUGUGGAGCCAAGUCAGUACACCAUAAUAUACCCAUACUUGCCUUUUCUACUUCUGGACUUCUGUUAGGAGGAAUUGACAAACCUUUAUCUGUGUUAAAUCUCUGCUAAUUGCAUUUUUGGAACUUCUGUUGUAUUGAAUCCAUUUUAUAUUUACAUUGUUGAUACAAGGGUAUGUUAAUGAAAAAUGGCUAACUUUUUUGUUUUCUGAUAAGCAAAGGUUUUUUAAGGUGAGAUAUUGGCACUAUAAUAAAGCAGUUAACAAAUAAUAACUUUAGGAAUUUGCAAAAAUAUAUCCAUGUGGGAUAAAAGGGGGCAAAGAGAUCUUUAGAAGGUCUCAGAGUCUAAGACAUGAGAAUAUAAAAAAACAUAUUUUAGGUGGAUCAGUCAGGCAGUGAAAUAUUGAGGCAAUGUGAUUCAUAUAAUGUAGAAAUAAAAUAAGAGAGCACAUUGUUAAGCAAGCAACCAUUAAAUACCAAGGCUGAGUGGAUAGAGAGGAAAUAUUCAGGUGGCAUUGGCAAGAACCUUAACUUCUCAGGAAGCAGGGACAAAGACCAAGUCAGGGUAACAGAAACAUCAAGACUGGCCACAUCCAUUUAAAAAUCAAAUUGUGUAAGUGGUUUAGAUAAGUUAGAGGAUUUUUAUACUUAAUAAAUGGUAAAUAUUUUUUCAUUACUCAGUAAGAAUACUCUGUUUUAUUUAGUAUAUGACAAAACUAAAACUCUGCAUUUGAUUAGAAACCUAAGCUAAAAUUUUGUUUUAUAUAUGUAUAUAUUUAUUUAGAUGCCUGUGUAAUUCAUUGCUGAUGUAUAACUUACUGGUUACCCUGGACACUGAAGUAUUCCUCAAGCAUCUCACAAAAUCAGUGACAAAAUUGGGAUCGUGACAGACAAUGAAAUUGCUGUGUAAACUAUGAAGUGCUAAAGCCAAUUAAAAUAUCUCUAUUACUAUCUUGUUUUCUGAAAUGCAGUUUCCUCAUUGUAACCAUUGACUAGCUCCAUUGGUUGGGUGUUUUUGAUUAUUUAAUGACUACAUGCCUAUUAAGGUGACAUGGAAUAUUAUGAGAUGUCAUGCAAAUGCUGAGUAUUUUGAAAUACUUGCUAGGAUUAUUAUUUCAUGCUUUAUGAUUAUGAUUUACUGUAGCACAAUAUGUAUUCAUGUUUUGUUUUUCUUUGAUGUAUCUUAUCAGGUCUAAAAAGGGAGAAUGUUCAUAGAUUAAUCUAUUCAUUGGUGAUGAUUUACAAAUUUUGUGGUAAAAUAUAGGCAUCAAUGGAAUACUACUACUAGUGUUUUAUUAAAAGAAAAGGUUUUAUCAACCAAGGGGAGUAAAAGGAUUUUUGCUAUCAUUUCCUGAAGGCAACUAUUGAUUAAUGUUUCUGUAUUUACAGAAAGCAGACGGACUCUUUAAAAACUUAUUUGCAAAACAAAUAUCAUAUUUACCUUGUGUCUGUACUUCAUAGGAAAAGGGGAGAUUCCUCCAAAAGGGCUCUACUAGCAAGAAACCUGGAAACUAAUGAAAUAGGAAAAAAAUCAAGACAUAAAAACAUCAAUAAACUUUAUUAGAUCGAAGCUUCUGUACAAAAUUCAUUAAAGAAAGUUUCAAAAGUAAUGAAAGACACAAAAAAAUUAGAUCAGUUGAAUUUCAUGAAAAUUAAGGAGUAUUGUGCUUUAGAAAACACCAAGAAGAAAGUAAAAGGACAACUAGCAAAUUUAGAUAAAAUAUUUGCAAAUCAUGUAUCUGAUAAGGGAAGUAUUUAUGUAGUAUACAAAAAAAACUAUACAAUUCAAUGCUAAAAAUACAAGUAGCUUAAUUUUUAAAAUGUAAAAAGGAUCUAAAACAUUUCUUCAAAGAAGAUACACAAAUGGCCAUCAAGCGCAUGAAAAGAUGCUCAAUGUCAGUAGCUUCAGGAAAUGCAAGUCAAAAUCGCUGUGAAAUACUACUUCGCCCUGACUAGAAGAAGGACUGUCAUCAAAAAGCCAAACAAUAAGUGUUGGAGAGCAGGCAGAAAAAUUAGAACUCUCAUGAACUGUUGGGAAUAUAAGAAGUGGAUAAGGUUAAAAUUCCAAGCUUUCAGUGAAAAUAUAAGCACAAGCAUAAUCUGUUAUAGUGAAAGUAUGAAGGAAUAUUCAAUUUUAAAUGACUGCUGUUGAAAAUAAUUAUAGCUAGUUGGAGACACAGAAAAUAUAUUUAAUAUCUCAUAUAUCAGAGGCCAAUAAUGGAUAUGAUAUAUAAAUAAUAUUCCCGCUAACGAUUCACAUCCUCCCAUGCGAUAAAAGCCAACAUAGAACCAGCUCAAAUUACUUUUUUUUUUUUUUUUUUUUUUUUUGGAGAUGGAGUCUCACUCCGUCACCAGGCUGGAGUGCAGUGGCUUGAUCUUGGCUCACUGCAGUCUCCACCUUCUGGGUUCACAUGAUUCCCCUGCCUCAGCCUCCUGAGUAGCUGGGACUACAGGCGCACACCACAACGCCCAGCUAAUUUUUUGUAUUUUAGCAGAGAUGGGGUUUCAAUAUGUUGUUCAGGAUGGUCUUGAUAUCCUGACCUCGUGAUCUGCCUGCCUCAGUCUCUCAAAGUGCUGGGAUUAAGGCUUGAGCCACUGCGCCCGGCCUCAGCUCAGAUUCCAAAAGAAAUUAGUAGGACAGAUAUAAGUAAACUUUAAGAAACUGUUGAUAGCAGGAAUUCUCACAUUUGAUGAGGUCCUGGAAUGGAGUGAUGAAAAGUUGAAGAAUAUGGUGGCAAAGAAAAUAGGACACUGCACAUCCAGUUUAUUAAACAGAUUUUUUAUUAAACUUUUUAGCCCUCAGUUUUCAAUAAAAGUUCAUUUGCAGAAAAGUUUUAUCUUUCUAAAACUGUCACUUCAGUGGCCAGCCUGGAAUGUUGGUAGAUUCAUAGUUUUACAGACCUAUCCAGUUUUGUUGUCUGGUUCUUGAUUAUAUGUCAAUGGUCAGAGCUAAAAAUGGAAUAAUAACUAAUGAAUCAUCUUGACAGGUAAAAAUACUAUACAGUGAUUUAUAAUGGUAUUUGCUUAUGACAAAUUUUUUCCAGAAUUGUCCCUAACUCAGUUGUUUUCAUUGUGUCAGGUUUCAUGAAGAAAAAUAAUAUUGCUUAGAAACAUUAAAUUUCUUUAUACUUAAUGUUGAUGCCAUCAAGUAGUUCUUUAUAAGACUGAACAUAACUAGAAUUUGAAUUACUUAUAACUCUUGCUUAAGUAGAAUAGUUUAAACAAAUCUUCAAAGAAAAGCCAAAUCACUUUUGGUUUAUUAAUAUGUCAAAGUGACUAAGAAAAAUGGAGCAUUUGAUGGUGAUAUAACUUUCGUAUCAUCAUUGAACUUUCAGUGCUGUUGACCUUAGCACAAUAUAGUACUAAAACAAAGAUGUCUUUCUUCACACUUCCCAGAUAUCAUUUGAAAUAAGUAAUGGGAUACACACAUGAGGUAAAUUAUUAAAAAAUUAUUUAUAUCAAUUAGAAACCUUCCAUUUUGGUAGACAAAAUGCAUCUUGAACUAAAGCCACAAAAAGGAGAAUGUAGUGGCGCAACAAAAUUUACCCAUGAAAAGAGAGAUGAACGUGAAGUCAGGUUCAAUCAGUUGAGAGAUUUGAAUAGAUGCAGAAUUUCUCCUUCAUUUCAUAUUUCUGUUGUUCUUUGUAUUUUAUCACCUUUUUGUCCUGGUAAAGAUAGGUAGUUGAGUCCUAGUCUAUGUAUGUAACAAUAACAGUUGGAAGUUCUGGAUUUGUAUCGAGCCAACUCAGAGACUAAAAGUAAAGAAGACUUCUCUUGACACCUUAAUACAUGAAAUUCCAGAAAUUGAGCGUGGUUAGCUUUGAGGAGAUUUUGCCACUCAGGCUCUAUCAAUCACUGUGGGUUAUAGUGUUUGUCCCAGACUAGAUUGCUUGUAAUUCAUAUGGAAAUACUACGGGCCCAGAAUAGUCAAAUCAAUGUUGAAAAGGAAAAUGGAUUUCAUCACUCACUACAAAACUACAGUAAUGAAUACAGUAAGGUACUGGCAUAAAGACAGACAUAUGAAUCAAUGGUGUACAAUUGAGAGUGAAAAAUAAGCUCUUGACUUUAUAGUUAGCUGAUUUUCAGCAAAAAUGCUAAGAAAAUUCAAUGGGAAAAAUAAUUUUUUUCAACAAAUUAUGCUGAGACAAUUGGUUUCUACAUUCAAAAAACAAAUUUGGAGUGGUUUCACAUCACAGAAAAAAAGUUAUCUGAAAGUGCAUGGCUGAUCUAAAUGUAAAAGCUAUGGUAAAACCUUUAGAAGUGAACAUUUAUAAGCUUAGGUUGUGCGGCAGGCAGAGGUUACAAUGAGCUGAAAUUGUGCCACUGCACUCCAGUCUGGGCAAAAAAGAGAGACUCCAUCUUGAAAAAAAUAUAUAUAUAUAAUCUUGGGUUAGGCAAUGAUUUCUUAGAUAUGAUACCAACGAAACAAGUGAUAAUAUAAAAAUAUUUCCAGAGUAUACAUCACAAGACUUAUAUCCAAAACAACAACAAAAAACUCUUACAACACAACAAUAAAAAGACAGAUAACUCAGUUAAAAAUGAGCAAAGAUCUGAAGAUACAUUUUUCUAAAGAAGAUACAUGUAUGACUAAUAAACACAUGAAAAAGAUGCUCAAUAUUAUUAGCCAUUAGGGAAAUGCAAGUCAAAGCCACAAGAUGUUCCUUCACACUGACAAUGGUGUCUACAAGAAAAAAGACAAAUAAUAUCGGGUGUUGGCAAGGAUGUAAAACAACCAACACCUUUAUACACUGUUGGUGAGAAUGUAAAAUGAUACAGCCACUUAUUAAAACAGUCUGUCAGUUUCUCAAAAUGCUAAAUGUUUACUUAUCAUAGAAUCCAGCAAUUUUACUCAUAAGUAUAAUAUAUUCACAAGAGAAAUAAAAAUAUAUGUCCACACAAAGAUUUACAUAUGAAUAUUCAUAGGGAUAUUAUUCACAAUAGUAAAAAAAGCAGAAACAACUCAAAUGUUUGCUAAUUGAUAAAUAGAUAAAGUUUGGCAUACCCAUACAAAAGCAUAAUAUUCAGCAACAUGAAGGAAUGGAGUACUGAUACAUGUUACCACAAGGAUGAACCCAAAAAUCAUUAUGCUAAGUGAAAGAAGACACAAAAUAACACGUAAUAUAUGAUUUUAUUUAUAUGAAAUACCAAAAAUAGGUAAAUAUAUAGAGAUGGAAAAUAAAUUAUUAGUUGCUUGGGG